This 803-nucleotide ribosomal RNA is filed under the name uncultured bacterium. Its description in RNAcentral is "bacterial SSU rRNA". It matches the Rfam family "Bacterial small subunit ribosomal RNA", at positions 8 to 796 of the family's 1533-position model. The record is from RNAcentral.
AGAGUUUGAUCAUGGCUCAGAACGAACGUUAGCGGCGCGCCUAACACAUGCAAGUCGAACGCGACAGGGGCAACUCUGUUGAGUGGCGCACGGGUGAGUAACACGUAGGUAAUCUCCCCCCGAGUGGUGGAUAACCCUCCGAAAGGAGAGCUAAUACAGCAUAAGACCACGGCUUCGAAAGGAGCUGAGGUCAAAGCGGAGGAUCGUAAGACUUCGCGCUUGGGGAUGAGCCUGCGGCCCAUCAGGUAGUUGGCGGGGUAAUGGCCCACCAAGCCAUAGACGGGUAGCUGGUCUGAGAGGAUGAUCAGCCACACUGGAACUGAGACACGGUCCAGACUCCUACGGGAGGCAGCAGUGGGGAAUCUUGCGCAAUGGACGAAAGUCUGACGCAGCGACGCCGCGUGGGUGAUGAAGGCCUUCGGGUUGUAAAGCCCUGUGGGGAGGGACGAAUAAGUUGCGGCUAAUACCCGCAGCGAUGACGGUACCUCCUUAGCAAGCACCGGCUAACUCUGUGCCAGCAGCCGCGGUAAGACAGAGGGUGCAAACGUUGUUCGGAAUUACUGGGCGUAAAGCGCGUGUAGGCGGCUAUGCAAGUCGGAUGUGAAAGCCCUCGGCUCAACCGGGGAAGUGCACCCGAAACUGCAAAGCUAGAGUCUCGGAGAGGAUCGUGGAAUUCUCGGUGUAGAGGUGAAAUUCGUAGAUAUCGAGAGGAACACCGGUGGCGAAGGCGGCGAUCUGGACGAUGACUGACGCUGAGACGCGAAAGCGUGGGGAGCAAACAGGAUUAGAUACCCUAGUAGUCC